This 865-nucleotide ribosomal RNA is filed under the name uncultured bacterium. Its description in RNAcentral is "bacterial SSU rRNA". It matches the Rfam family "Bacterial small subunit ribosomal RNA", at positions 26 to 898 of the family's 1533-position model. The record is from RNAcentral.
AGGACGAACGCUGGCGGCGUGCUUAACACAUGCAAGUCGAACGGAGUCGAUCUGGUGGCAACACCGGUGAAAACUCAGUGGCGAACGGGUGCGGAACACGUGAGCAACCUGCCCCAAAGACCGGGAUAACACCGGGAAACUGGUGCUAAUACCGGAUACCCCCACGAGCUCGCAUGGGCUUGUGAGGAAAGGGUUUCCGCUUUGGGAGGGGCUCGCGGCCUAUCAGCUUGUUGGUGAGGUAACGGCUCACCAAGGCGACGACGGGUAGCUGGUCUGAGAGGACGAUCAGCCACACUGGGACUGAGACACGGCCCAGACUCCUACGGGAGGCAGCAGUGGGGAAUCUUGCGCAAUGGGCGAAAGCCUGACGCAGCAACGCCGCGUGGGGGAUGAAGGCCUUCGGGUUGUAAACCCCUUUCAGUGGGAACGAAAUUGACGGUACCCACAGAAGAAGCCCCGGCCAACUACGUGCCAGCAGCCGCGGUGAUACGUAGGGGGCGAGCGUUGUCCGGAUUUAUUGGGCGUAAAGAGCUCGUAGGCGGCUUGGUAAGUCGGGUGUGAAGCCUCCAGGCUCAACCUGGCGACGCCACUCGAUACUGCCCUGGCUAGAGUCCGGUAGGGGAUCACGGAAUUCCUGGUGUAGCGGUGAAAUGCGCAGAUAUCAGGAGGAACACCAGUGGCGAAGGCGGUGAUCUGGGCCGGUACUGACGCUGAGGAGCGAAAGCGUGGGGAGCGAACAGGAUUAGAUACCCUGGUAGUCCACGCCGUAAACGUUGGGCACUAGGUGUGGGGCCUUAUCGACGGGUUCCGUGCCGCAGCUAACGCAUUAAGUGCCCCGCCUGGGGAGUACGGCCGCAAGGCUAAA